RNAcentral lists this ribosomal RNA (274 nucleotides) under uncultured bacterium. RNAcentral describes it as "partial 16S ribosomal RNA". It matches the Rfam family "Bacterial small subunit ribosomal RNA", at positions 523 to 796 of the family's 1533-position model. The record is from RNAcentral.
AUACGGGGGGUGCAAGCGUUAUUCGGAUUUAUUGGGCGUAAAGGGCGCGUAGGCGGCUUGGUAAGUCAGAUGUGAAAGCCCGGGGCUUAACCCCGGAAGUGCAUUUGAAACUAUCAGGCUUGAGUAUGGGAGAGGGAAGUGGAAUUCCUGGUGUAGAGGUGAAAUUCGUAGAUAUCAGGAGGAACACCGGUGGCGAAGGCGACUUCCUGGACCAAUACUGACGCUGAGGCGCGAAGGCGUGGGGAGCAAACAGGAUUAGAAACCCCUGUAGUCC